AUACGGAAGGCAGCAGUGGGGAAUUUUGGUCAAUGGGCGCAAGCCUGAACCAGCAACGCCGCGUGGGUGAUGAAGGCCUUCGGGUUGUAAAGCCCUGUCGGGAGGGACGAAACCCUGCGUUAACCACGCAGGUUGACGGUACCUUCAAAGGAAGCACCGGCUAACUCCGUGCCAGCAGCCGCGGUAAUACAGAGGGUGCAAGCGUUGUUCGGAAUUACUGGGCGUAAAGCGCGUGUAGGCGGCGCUGUAAGUCCUGUGUGAAAGCCCCGGGCUCAACCCGGGAAGUGCGCAGGAUACUGCAGUGCUAGAGUGACGGAGAGGAUGGCGGAAUACCCGGUGUAGAGGUGAAAUUCGUAGAUAUCGGGUGGAACACCUGUGGCGAAGGCGGCCAUCUGGACGUCAACUGACGCUGAGACGCGAAAGCGUGGGUAGCAAACAGGAUUAGAUACCCGUGU
Molecule: ribosomal RNA, 455 nt
Filed under: uncultured bacterium
Lineage: Bacteria
Description: bacterial SSU rRNA
Rfam family: Bacterial small subunit ribosomal RNA
Source: RNAcentral